Molecule: small nuclear RNA, 109 nt
Organism: Ochotona curzoniae (black-lipped pika)
Lineage: Eukaryota; Metazoa; Chordata; Mammalia; Lagomorpha; Ochotonidae
Source: RefSeq, a predicted model, not a curated record
GUGCUUGCCUCGGCAGCACAUAUACUAAAAUUGGAAUGAUACAGAGAAGAUUAGCACGGCCCCUGCGCGAGGAGCGCUUUGCACAGUGUGCCUAAUAUGCAACAUAUAU